Molecule: transfer RNA, 74 nt
Filed under: Pteropus alecto (black flying fox)
Lineage: Eukaryota; Metazoa; Chordata; Mammalia; Chiroptera; Pteropodidae
Rfam family: tRNA
About the family: Transfer RNA (tRNA) molecules are approximately 80 nucleotides in length. Their secondary structure includes four short double-helical elements and three loops (D, anti-codon, and T loops). Further hydrogen bonds mediate the characteristic L-shaped molecular structure. tRNAs have two regions of fundamental functional importance: the anti-codon, which is responsible for specific mRNA codon recognition, and the 3' end, to which the tRNAs corresponding amino acid is attached (by aminoacyl-tRNA synthetases). tRNAs cope with the degeneracy of the genetic code in two manners: having more than one tRNA (with a specific anti-codon) for a particular amino acid; and 'wobble' base-pairing, i.e. permitting non-standard base-pairing at the 3rd anti-codon position.
Source: Rfam by way of RNAcentral
GGCUCCAUAGUGUAAUGAUUAGCACAUCUGCUUUACAUGCAGAAGGUCCUGGGUUCAUGCUCCAGGUGGAGCCA